AGCUUUGUGCAGUGGCAGUAUCAUAGCCAAUAAUGUUUAUCUGAGGUGCAAUUAUUGCUAGUUGAAAACUUUUCCCAAUACACCUCACAUAUUGGAAUUUGGAGUUCAGCUCCCGA
This 116-nucleotide small nuclear RNA is filed under the name Jaculus jaculus (lesser Egyptian jerboa). Its description in RNAcentral is "U4 spliceosomal RNA (ENSJJAG00000004362.1)". It matches the Rfam family "U4 spliceosomal RNA". Rfam says of the family: U4 small nuclear RNA (U4 snRNA) is a component of the major U2-dependent spliceosome. The record is from Rfam by way of RNAcentral. Lineage: Eukaryota; Metazoa; Chordata; Mammalia; Rodentia; Dipodidae.